This 205-nucleotide long non-coding RNA is filed under the name Gossypium barbadense (sea-island cotton). RNAcentral's name for it is "long non-coding RNA (GBAR_LNC017841)". The record is from RNAcentral. Lineage: Eukaryota; Viridiplantae; Streptophyta; Magnoliopsida; Malvales; Malvaceae.
CGGGGACUAAUUUGCAAAAUUAUUAAACAUUUUAAGUUUUUCCAUUGAUUAAUAAGUUAUGGUUUUGAAGUUUGAUGGAAGAAAAUGAAUCAUUGUUGUUAAAUAGACAACUUUUGUUAAGUGAAUUUUGAUGAAAUUGUUAAUUAGGGGUUAAAUUGAGAAAUGUGAAAAUUGUGUGGUAAAUAUGUGAAAUUGUCAAAUGUGU